RNAcentral lists this ribosomal RNA (468 nucleotides) under uncultured bacterium. RNAcentral's name for it is "partial 16S ribosomal RNA". It matches the Rfam family "Bacterial small subunit ribosomal RNA", at positions 28 to 507 of the family's 1533-position model. The record is from RNAcentral.
GACGAACGCUGGCGGCGUGCUUAACACAUGCAAGUCGAACGGAAAGGCCCUGCUUUUGUGGGGUGCUCGAGUGGCGAACGGGUGAGUAACACGUGAGUAACCUGCCCUUGACUUUGGGAUAACUUCAGGAAACUGGGGCUAAUACCGGAUAGGAGCUCCCGCUGCAUGGUGGGGGUUGGAAAGUUUCGACGGUUGGGGAUGGACUCGCGGCUUAUCAGCUUGUUGGUGGGGUAGUGGCUUACCAAGGCUUUGACGGGUAGCCGGCCUGAGAGGGUGACCGGCCACAUUGGGACUGAGAUACGGCCCAGACUCCUACGGGAGGCAGCAGUGGGGAAUAUUGCACAAUGGGCGGAAGCCUGAUGCAGCAACGCCGCGUGCGGGAUGACGGCCUUCGGGUUGUAAACCGCUUUCGCCUGUGACGAAGCGUGAGUGACGGUAAUGGGUAAAGAAGCACCGGCUAACUACGUG